UCUAAGUAUCACCUGCCAGACAGGGAAACUGCGUACGGCUCAUUACACCAGCCUUCAUUUACUUGACCUUGACAACCUACUUGGAUAACUGUGGUAUCUCUAGAGCUAAUACAUGCACCAAAGCUCCGAUCCUCGCGGAGAGGAGCGCAUUUGUUCGCCACAAAACCAAGCCCCCAUCUGGGCGUCCAGUGCUGAACCAGUACAACUCAGCUGAUCGCACGGUCUUGUACCGGCGACGUGUCUUUCAAGUGUCUGCCUUAUCAACUUUCCAUGGUAGUGUACCUGACUACCAUGGUUGUGACGGGCAACGGAGGAUAAGGGUUCGACUCCGGAGAAGGGGCCUGAGAAAUGGCCACUACGUCUAAGGAUGGCAGCAGGCGCGCAAAUUACCCACUCUCAACGCGAGGAGGUACUGACGAGAAAUAACGAGACCGUUCUCAUACGAGGCCGGUUAUUGGAAUGGGUACAAUUUAAA
This 475-nucleotide ribosomal RNA is filed under the name unidentified nematode Sourhope farm. RNAcentral's name for it is "SSU rRNA". It matches the Rfam family "Eukaryotic small subunit ribosomal RNA", at positions 58 to 529 of the family's 1831-position model. The record is from RNAcentral. Lineage: Eukaryota; Metazoa; Nematoda.